This 225-nucleotide long non-coding RNA is filed under the name Bos taurus (domestic cattle). RNAcentral describes it as "long non-coding RNA NONBTAT026777". Lineage: Eukaryota; Metazoa; Chordata; Mammalia; Artiodactyla; Bovidae. The record is from RNAcentral.
GCAGUGACUAUGACAGCAUUUUAAUAAGAUAAUAUACUCAUUUUAACACAGCCUUUAUUUUCUGUUUCAAAACAAAAUUUCCAGGAAACAAAAUACUUAACAAUGGUUGGGUACAAAUGAAAUAAAAAUCACAGUUUCAAAGAACCAAAAUCAGACAACUGCUUAAAGGCAGAUUGUAAAGGUUAAGUGUAGAGAAGUGGCUAAAAUUCUGCAUAUUUUAUAGUA